CUGCUCCUCCAGGAGCUCCUAGUGGGCCUCCAGGUGGUCCUCCAGGAGGUCCUUUGCUCCUCCAGGAGGUCCUUUUGGUCCUUGAGGAGGUCCUUUGCUACUCCAGGAGGUCCUGGUGGUCCUCCAGGUGGUCCUUUUGGUCCUCCAGGUGGUCCUCCAGGAGGUCCUUUUGGUCCUCCAGGAGGUCCUUUUGGUCCUUGAGGAGGUCCUUUGCUACUCCAGGUGGUCCUCUUGGUCCUCCAGGUGGUCCUUUUGGGCCUCCAGGUGGUUCUCCAGGAGGUCCUUUGCUCCUCCAGGAGGUCCUUUUGGUCCUUGAGGAGGUCCUUUGCUCCUCCAGGAGGUCCUUUGCUACUCCAGGAGGUCCUUUUGGUCCUCCAGGUGGUCCUCCAGGAGGUCCUUCACUCCUCCAGGUGGUCCUUUUGGUCCUUGAGGAGGUCCUUUGCUACUCCAGGAGGUCCUUUUUGUCCUCCAGGUGGUCCUAUUGGUCCUCCAGGCGGUCCUCCAGGAGGUCCUUCACUCCUCCAGGAGGUCCUUUUGGUCCUUGAGGAGGUCCUUUUGGUCCUUGAGGAGGUCCUUUGCUCCUCCAGGAGGUCCUUUGCUACUCCAGGUGGUCCUAUGGUCCUCCAGGUGGUCCUCCAGGAGGUCCUUCACUCCUCCAGGAGGUCCUUUUGGUCCUUGAGGAGGUCCUUUGCUACUCCAGGAGGUCCUUUUGGUCCUCCAGGUGGGCCUCUGCUACUCCAGGUGGUCCUCUUGGUCCUCCAGGUGGUCCUUUUGGUCCUCCAGGUGGUCCUUGAGGAGGUCCUUUGCUCCUCCAGGAGGUCCUUUGCUACUCCAGGUGGUCCUUUUGGUCCUCCAGGUGGUCCUCCAGGAGGUCCUUUGCUCCUCCAGGAGGUCCUUUUGGUCCUUGAGGAGGUCCUUUGCUACUCCAGGAGGUCCUUUUUGUCCUC
This is a long non-coding RNA of Cuculus canorus (common cuckoo), 947 nucleotides long. RefSeq lists it as uncharacterized. The transcript has 3 exons. The record is from RefSeq and is a predicted model, not a curated record. Lineage: Eukaryota; Metazoa; Chordata; Aves; Cuculiformes; Cuculidae.